This 466-nucleotide ribosomal RNA is filed under the name uncultured bacterium. Its description in RNAcentral is "partial 16S ribosomal RNA". It matches the Rfam family "Bacterial small subunit ribosomal RNA", at positions 28 to 507 of the family's 1533-position model. The record is from RNAcentral.
GACGAACGCUGGCGGCGCGCCUAACACAUGCAAGUCGAACGAGCGAGAGAGAGCUUGCUUUCUCGAGCGAGUGGCGAACGGGUGAGUAACGCGUGAGGAACCUGCCUCAAAGAGGGGGACAACAGUUGGAAACGACUGCUAAUACCGCAUAAGCCCACGACCCGGCAUCGGGUAGAGGGAAAAGGAGCAAUCCGCUUUGAGAUGGCCUCGCUUCCGAUUUGCUAGUUGGUGAGGUAACGGCCCACCAAGGCGACGAUCGGUAGCCGGACUGAGAGGUUGAACGGCCACAUUGGGACUGAGACACGGCCCAGACUCCUACGGGAGGCAGCAGUGGGGAAUAUUGCACAAUGGGGGAAACCCUGAUGCAGCGACGCCGCGUGGAGGAAGAAGGUCUUCGGAUUGUAAACUCCUGUUGUUGAGGAAGAUAAUGACGGUACUCAACAAGGAAGUGACGGCUAACUACGUG